GACGAACGCUGGCGGCGUGCCUAAUACAUGCAAGUCGAACGCACUCUCGUUUAGAUUGAAGGAGCUUGCUCCUGAUUGAUAAACAUUUGAGUGAGUGGCGGACGGGUGAGUAACACGUGGGUAACCUGCCCUAAAGUGGGGGAUAACAUUUGGAAACAGAUGCUAAUACCGCAUAAAACCUAAACACCGCAUGGUGUAGGGUUGAAAGAUGGUUUCGGCUAUCACUUUAGGAUGGACCCGCGGUGCAUUAGUUAGUUGGUGAGGUAAAGGCUCACCAAGACCGUGAUGCAUAGCCGACCUGAGAGGGUAAUCGGCCACACUGGGACUGAGACACGGCCCAGACUCCUACGGGAGGCAGUAGUAGGGAAUCUUCCACAAUGGACGAAAGUCUGAUGGAGCAACGCCGCGUGAGUGAAGAAGGUUUUCGGAUCGUAAAACUCUGUUGUUGGAGAAGAAUGUAUCUGAUAGUAACUGAUCAGGUAGUGACGGUAUCCAACCAGAAAGCCACGG
Molecule: ribosomal RNA, 510 nt
Filed under: uncultured bacterium
Lineage: Bacteria
Description: bacterial SSU rRNA
Rfam family: Bacterial small subunit ribosomal RNA
Source: RNAcentral